GUACAAUUAUGGAUCCCACUAAUAUUACAAAGGCGAAAAUGUGUACUUUUAUUACCUCACGUUCACCUGUUUUUGACCUCGAGUCAAUAACUAUGUCAAUUCCAAAUUUCAUCCAAAUCUGUCCAGCCCUGAAAGUGUGACAGAAUGAGUGACAGACUACAUAUAAUUAGUCUUAACGUGGAUGGAGUCGCGGGCAGCUGCCAGUAAGUAUAAAUACCUAUUUACUGACUGUUAUUGUCCGCGACUCAUUCCGCGGUAUUUAAAUUUUGCAACAAAUCUUUACUUAUAAUGAUACUAGAUAGAUCACGAUGGAAUGAUAUCAAAUUAUGUAAUAGAUUUUAAGUGAUUAUUAUAGUGAUAAAUGUUUAGUAUAUAUACACAGGUUGAUUUCAUUUUUAAAUCGUAGUCACACUUGAUAGUAGAUUUAAUUAACAGUUAAUUAAAUUUAGACAUUGUAAAUUUAAUUAAAUUUGUUAAUUUAAAUUCAAAAUAUGGUAAGGAAAAUUGUAAUUUUUGCGGCUGUUUUUAUUCAGGUCAUAAAUUCACAAUUAAUCAUAGCUCCAAUCAACUACCCGAUUCUAAGCGAGUUAUUCGAGAGACGAAACCAGCCUGUCCCACCCCUGUCACCAGUCGAAAGCGACGCGUUAUGCAAAAAUUACGCAUCGUCUAUCCAGAACGUUAUUUUCGAAAAAUUCGCCCAAAACUGUUUGAGAAAACCCGUUCUCGGACAAAUGUCCGGACCGUUGGUUAACGAAAUAUCGUCAAAUGUAUGUAAAUGUCCCCUUUGCUCCGCUGUGAGUAUUUCACCAAACGGUUACACGAAAGCCUAUAUAACUCCAUCAACUGUAUCGAAUUUAAUAAGUAAAGCAAACGGCUGUAAUUGUAAUAACUGUAACGUUGCGAACAACGUUAUUAAUAAUGUACCGGUUAAUAACUUACCGGUUAAUUUCGUUAUUCCGAAUAACGUUAUAAAUAAUAAUGUGAAACCGAUUAAUAACUUUAAAAAUGUACAAAUAACCGAUCUUUUGUCGCUUUUGAAAGGGUUAGAGUGUUCUUGUCAAGGGCCCGUUUUGGUUUAGUGUUAUUUAAUCUUUAUUUAAUGUUAAUGUAAGUUAUUUAUUUAAAUAUAUUAUUUAUUUUGGUUUUUA
Molecule: long non-coding RNA, 1148 nt
Organism: Plodia interpunctella (Indianmeal moth)
Lineage: Eukaryota; Metazoa; Arthropoda; Insecta; Lepidoptera; Pyralidae
Exons: 2
Source: RefSeq, a predicted model, not a curated record